Labrus bergylta (ballan wrasse) is the source of this 498-nucleotide long non-coding RNA. RefSeq lists it as uncharacterized. The record is from RefSeq and is a predicted model, not a curated record. Lineage: Eukaryota; Metazoa; Chordata; Actinopteri; Labriformes; Labridae.
UAAAGAAAGGAUAAUACAUUAGUUAAAGUUACACAUGACUUUAAGUAACAUUAAAUAAAGCUUAUUUGUUACAUGUUCUACUUGUGUUUUGUCUGCUGCACUCAACUAAGUUUUCAGAACAAAGACAGACAUGCAUGUCGAGUCUCUCUUCAUGUUUCUACCGCCACAGGUGCAGCCAAUCACUAAUUAAGACUCGUCCACCUGCUGCUGAUGUUGAAGAAGAAGCUGCUGCACAGUGGGGACGAUGGAGCCAAACGAGCACCUAAAAUCUCCAGAUCAUCCUCUUCCGCUCAUCCGAAGUCGGGUCCCGGUGGCAGCAAGCGCAGUCAAGUCAAAUCCAGACUUCCCUCUCCCUCUCACAUCCUCAUGGGGGCGUUCAAGGCCCGGAUCACCUCAACUGACUGACAUGUGGCACAUGUGCAUUUGACUUAGAACUGACUUGUUUUCAGUAUUUCAGAAAAUAUGUGUGUCACUAUUCAAUUAAAUGGAUUGAGAUAA